UCCAGGGUAGCCUAGUGGACAUGGAAUUUGGCUGGUAAGCAGAACACUGUGGGUUUGAUUCCCAUUACUGAAC
Molecule: non-coding RNA, 73 nt
Organism: Cordylochernes scorpioides
Lineage: Eukaryota; Metazoa; Arthropoda; Arachnida; Pseudoscorpiones; Chernetidae
Source: the annotation of a GenBank genome assembly